This 310-nucleotide long non-coding RNA is filed under the name Elaeis guineensis (African oil palm). RNAcentral's name for it is "long non-coding RNA (EGUI_LNC056918)". Lineage: Eukaryota; Viridiplantae; Streptophyta; Magnoliopsida; Arecales; Arecaceae. The record is from RNAcentral.
CACUCUCUUCUCUACUCGCCCCUCUCCCUUCUCUACUUUAUAGUCUGUGCUCUUACCCGUCUCUCACAAUUCGGGUAUCCCACAGCUUCAAUCAAAGCUCUCUUCCCACGAUGACUCUCUCCACAGCCCCUAACAUCUACACCAUGAGGAUCCAAGCUACAGCCUUAAAUCCCAAAAAUCCUUGACCGACCCUCAACGCCCGUGCCCUAAACUCCAGUGGCUUCAUCUUCUGUCGCUAACACAAGUGCAAAUGCUGAACUCUCCGUCAUUUGCAAAUACAGCACCACUUAUCAUGUCUUUGGCAUAAAUA